GUAGAUAUAGUUUAAUUAAAACAUUAGAUUGUGAUUCUAAAAUCAAGAGUUAAACCCUCUUUAUCCACC
This 69-nucleotide transfer RNA is filed under the name Oostethus brachyurus (short-tailed pipefish). RNAcentral describes it as "tRNA-His". It matches the Rfam family "tRNA". Rfam says of the family: Transfer RNA (tRNA) molecules are approximately 80 nucleotides in length. Their secondary structure includes four short double-helical elements and three loops (D, anti-codon, and T loops). The record is from RNAcentral. Lineage: Eukaryota; Metazoa; Chordata; Actinopteri; Syngnathiformes; Syngnathidae.